This 882-nucleotide ribosomal RNA is filed under the name uncultured Enterobacteriaceae bacterium. Its description in RNAcentral is "bacterial SSU rRNA". It matches the Rfam family "Bacterial small subunit ribosomal RNA". The record is from RNAcentral. Lineage: Bacteria; Pseudomonadati; Pseudomonadota; Gammaproteobacteria; Enterobacterales; Enterobacteriaceae.
AUUGAACGCUGGCGGCAGGCCUAACACAUGCAAGUCGAGCGGCAGCGGAAAGUAGCUUGCUACUUUGCCGGCGAGCGGCGGACGGGUGAGUAAUGUCUGGGAAACUGCCUGAUGGAGGGGGAUAACUACUGGAAACGGUAGCUAAUACCGCAUGACCUCGAAAGAGCAAAGUGGGGGAUCUUCGGACCUCACGCCAUCGGAUGUGCCCAGAUGGGAUUAGCUAGUAGGUGAGGUAAUGGCUCACCUAGGCGACGAUCCCUAGCUGGUCUGAGAGGAUGACCAGCCACACUGGAACUGAGACACGGUCCAGACUCCUACGGGAGGCAGCAGUGGGGAAUAUCGCACAAUGGGCGCAAGCCUGAUGCAGCCAUGCCGCGUGUGUGAAGAAGGCCUUAGGGUUGUAAAGCACUUUCAGCGAGGAGGAAGGCAUCAUACUUAAUACGUGUGGUGAUUGACGUUACUCGCAGAAGAAGCACCGGCUAACUCCGUGCCAGCAGCCGCGGUAAUACGGAGGGUGCAAGCGUUAAUCGGAAUUACUGGGCGUAAAGCGCACGCAGGCGGUUUGUUAAGUCAGAUGUGAAAUCCCCGCGCUUAACGUGGGAACUGCAUUUGAAACUGGCAAGCUAGAGUCUUGUAGAGGGGGGUAGAAUUCCAGGUGUAGCGGUGAAAAUGCGUAGAGAUCUGGAGGAAUACCGGUGGGCGAAGGCGGCCCCCUGGACAAAGACUGACGCUCGGUGCGAAAGCGGGGGAGAAAACAGGAUAGGACACCCUGGGGGUCCAAGGGCGAAUCCCCGUGGAUUUCAUCUUUUCACUCGCGGGGUCGCGGGGGGGGGGUCGUUCCAGGUAUAUUCCCUUAUAAAUGUUCUAUACAGUUCCUGUCCU